Molecule: long non-coding RNA, 242 nt
Organism: Dreissena polymorpha
Lineage: Eukaryota; Metazoa; Mollusca; Bivalvia; Myida; Dreissenidae
Exons: 3
Source: RefSeq, a predicted model, not a curated record
CCGUAUAUUGCAUUGGACAACAACUGUCGACCAUACCACUUCCCCUACCGUUCGCUACCAGCUUGAAUUUAGGUAACAACAUGAUCGCAUCACUUCCUGAAGAUGCAUUUCAUGGAUGGUGGAAUCUAGGGGAACUAUAAUAUAUUCCACUGCUCUAACCGGAAAACUGGAUUGUAACCAACGACCUUCACGCAGCUGAGCUGGUGACUUUCUAAUACCUUCUAAUGGUAUCACCUUUAUUU